Molecule: ribosomal RNA, 488 nt
Filed under: Pseudomonas sp. PT3
Lineage: Bacteria; Pseudomonadati; Pseudomonadota; Gammaproteobacteria; Pseudomonadales; Pseudomonadaceae
Description: bacterial SSU rRNA
Rfam family: Bacterial small subunit ribosomal RNA
Source: RNAcentral
GGAGGGGCGGCUACCAUGCAGUCGAGCGGAUGACGGGAGCUUGCUCCUUGAUUCAGCGGCGGACGGGUGAGUAAUGCCUAGGAAUCUGCCUGGUAGUGGGGGACAACGUUUCGAAAGGAACGCUAAUACCGCAUACGUCCUACGGGAGAAAGCAGGGGACCUUCGGGCCUUGCGCUAUCAGAUGAGCCUAGGUCGGAUUAGCUAGUUGGUGGGGUAAUGGCUCACCAAGGCGACGAUCCGUAACUGGUCUGAGAGGAUGAUCAGUCACACUGGAACUGAGACACGGUCCAGACUCCUACGGGAGGCAGCAGUGGGGAAUAUUGGACAAUGGGCGAAAGCCUGAUCCAGCCAUGCCGCGUGUGUGAAGAAGGUCUUCGGAUUGUAAAGCACUUUAAGUUGGGAGGAAGGGCAGUAAGUUAAUACCUUGCUGUUUUGACGUUACCGACAGAAUAAGCACCGGCUAACUCUGUGCCAGCAGCCGCGGUAAU